RNAcentral lists this ribosomal RNA (500 nucleotides) under uncultured bacterium. Its description in RNAcentral is "partial 16S ribosomal RNA". It matches the Rfam family "Bacterial small subunit ribosomal RNA", at positions 28 to 507 of the family's 1533-position model. The record is from RNAcentral.
GACGAACGCUGGCGGCGUGCUUAACACAUGCAAGUCGAACGGGUCUGCCCUGUUUUUUGCGGGGUGGGUCAGUGGCGAACGGGUGAGUAACACGUGAGUAACCUGCCCCUCACUUCUGGAUAACCGCUUGAAAGGGUGGCUAAUACGGGGUGUUCUGGCUGUGCCGCAUGGUGUGGCUGGGAAAGAUUCACUUUUGUGGUGUUUUGGUGGGGGAUGGGCUCGCGGCCUAUCAGCUUGUUGGUGGGGUGAUGGCCUGCCAAGGCUUUGACGGGUAGCCGGCCUGAGAGGGUGGGCGGUCACACUGGGACUGAGAUACGGCCCAGACUCCUGCGGGAGGCAGCAGUGGGGGGUAUUGCACAAUGGGCGGAAGCCUGAUGCAGCGACGUCGCGUGAGGGAUGGAGGCCUUCGGGUUGUGAACCUCUUUCGCCGGUGAAGAAGGUCCUGCUCUUUGUGGUGGGGUUGACGGUAGCCGGGUUAUGAAGCGCAGGCUAACUACGUG